Molecule: ribosomal RNA, 408 nt
Filed under: uncultured bacterium
Lineage: Bacteria
Description: partial 16S ribosomal RNA
Rfam family: Bacterial small subunit ribosomal RNA
Source: RNAcentral
GACGAACGCUGGCGGCGUGCUUAACACAUGCAAGUCGAACGAAGUGGCGAACGGGUGAGUAACGAGUAAGCAACCUGCCCUUCAGAGGGGGACAACAGUGGGAAACGACUGCUAAUACCGCAUACUGAAGGAGGGGAUUGCGUCUGAUUCGCAAGUUGGGGGGGUAACGGCCCACCAAGGCGAUGACCAGUAGCCGGUCUGAGAGGAUUAACGGCCACAUUGGGACUGGGACACGGCCCAGACUCCUACGGGAGGCAGCAGUGGGGAAUCUUCCGCAAUGGACGAAAGUCUGACGGAGCAACGCCGCGUGAGGGAUGACGGCCUUCGGGUUGUAAAGCUCUGUUAAUCGGGACGCGGUACCGGAAUAGAAAGCCACGGCUAACUACGUGCCAGCAGCCGCGGUAAUUC